RNAcentral lists this ribosomal RNA (459 nucleotides) under uncultured bacterium. Its description in RNAcentral is "bacterial SSU rRNA". It matches the Rfam family "Bacterial small subunit ribosomal RNA", at positions 28 to 495 of the family's 1533-position model. The record is from RNAcentral.
GAUGAACGCUGGCGGCGUGCUUAACACAUGCAAGUCGAACGAAGCACUUCAUAAAGUUUACUUUAAGAAGUGACUUAGUGGCGGACGGGUGAGUAACGCGUGGGUAACCUGCCUUACACAGGGGGAUAACAGUUAGAAAUGACUGCUAAUACCGCAUAAAACAGCAGAGUCGCAUGACUCAACUGUCAAAGAUUUAUCGGUGUAAGAUGGACCCGCGUCUGAUUAGCUGGUUGGUGGGGUAACGGCCUACCAAGGCGACGAUCAGUAGCCGGCCUGAGAGGGUGAACGGCCACAUUGGGACUGAGACACGGCCCAAACUCCUACGGGAGGCAGCAGUGGGGAAUAUUGGACAAUGGGCGAAAGCCUGAUCCAGCGACGCCGCGUGAGCGAUGAAGUAUUUCGGUAUGUAAAGCUCUAUCAGCAGGGAAGAAAACGACGGUACCUGACUAAGAAGCCCCG